CCGAGCGAGGGCCCCCGGGCCCGACCUCCAACCCUUUGUGCACAUCUCUUGUUGCUUCGGGGGCGACCCUGCCGUGGACCGCGGCGGGGGCUCCCGGAGGCCUUCAACCCUGCAUCGGUGCGUCGGCGUUUAAGCGAAUUAAACA
Molecule: unclassified non-coding RNA, 145 nt
Filed under: uncultured Mycosphaerellaceae
Lineage: Eukaryota; Fungi; Ascomycota; Dothideomycetes; Mycosphaerellales; Mycosphaerellaceae
Description: sequence contains ITS1
Source: RNAcentral